This 67-nucleotide transfer RNA is filed under the name Ictidomys tridecemlineatus (thirteen-lined ground squirrel). RNAcentral's name for it is "Spermophilus tridecemlineatus (thirteen-lined ground squirrel) tRNA". It matches the Rfam family "tRNA". Rfam says of the family: Transfer RNA (tRNA) molecules are approximately 80 nucleotides in length. Their secondary structure includes four short double-helical elements and three loops (D, anti-codon, and T loops). Further hydrogen bonds mediate the characteristic L-shaped molecular structure. tRNAs have two regions of fundamental functional importance: the anti-codon, which is responsible for specific mRNA codon recognition, and the 3' end, to which the tRNAs corresponding amino acid is attached (by aminoacyl-tRNA synthetases). tRNAs cope with the degeneracy of the genetic code in two manners: having more than one tRNA (with a specific anti-codon) for a particular amino acid; and 'wobble' base-pairing, i.e. permitting non-standard base-pairing at the 3rd anti-codon position. Lineage: Eukaryota; Metazoa; Chordata; Mammalia; Rodentia; Sciuridae. The record is from Rfam by way of RNAcentral.
GGUUGUGGCUCAGUGGUAGAGCACUUGCCUAGCAUGUGUGAGGUACUGGGUUCGAUUCUCAGAACCA